UGAGGAAUAUUGGUCAAUGGGCGGAAGCCUGAACCAGCCAUGCCGCGUGCAGGAAGACGGCCCUACGGGUUGUAAACUGCUUUUCCGGGGGAAGAAUAAGGGCGAUGCGUCGUCCGAUGCCGGUACCCCGGGAAUAAGGAUCGGCUAACUCCGUGCCAGCAGCCGCGGUAAUACGGAGGAUCCGAGCGUUAUCCGGAUUUACUGGGUUUAAAGGGUGCGUAGGCGGGCUCUUAAGUCAGCGGUGAAAGUCUGCGGCUCAACCGUAGGAUUGCCGUUGAUACUGGGAGCCUUGGAUUCGGUCGAGGCGGGCGGAAUGCGACAUGUAGCGGUGAAAUGCUUAGAUAUGUCGCAGAACGCCGAUUGCGAAGGCAGCUCGCCGGGCCGACAUCGACGCUGAGGCACGAAAGCGUGGGGAUCAAACAGG
This 424-nucleotide ribosomal RNA is filed under the name uncultured bacterium. Its description in RNAcentral is "bacterial SSU rRNA". It matches the Rfam family "Bacterial small subunit ribosomal RNA", at positions 355 to 776 of the family's 1533-position model. The record is from RNAcentral.